GGAUGGGACAAGAUGGAAAGGGGGCACUCGGUAUUGUCAUGUACUGUAAUAUUGGAGUCUGCAGCCCAUAAUUUGCGGCAAGGUUGAUGCCAACCAUAACAUAUCGCAGCCGGCCAAUUGGAUCAGCUGAGGCACUCGUAUGGAAAUACCUCACGCUCCAUGAUAUAUUACAUAACGAGUCCCUUGUGGCUGGAACCAUCCUAUUCGAUGUUACAUUGGUUGGUUUUGAAGACCAGCAAGAGGGUUGGUAUUAUAUUUCCUGAAUGGAAACACCUAAAAAUAUACUGGCACGUGAUAUGGAAGAGUGGG
Molecule: small RNA, 309 nt
Filed under: Histoplasma capsulatum var. duboisii H88
Lineage: Eukaryota; Fungi; Ascomycota; Eurotiomycetes; Onygenales; Ajellomycetaceae
Description: Histoplasma capsulatum H88 hypothetical RNA
Source: RNAcentral